RNAcentral lists this long non-coding RNA (240 nucleotides) under Cyanistes caeruleus (blue tit). RNAcentral's name for it is "lncRNA (ENSCCEG00000011399.1)". Lineage: Eukaryota; Metazoa; Chordata; Aves; Passeriformes; Paridae. The record is from RNAcentral.
UGUUGGAUGCUGCUAGGCAGAAACACUAUGAACUUUCACCCUAUGUAGCUAAAAAGACCCCAAAGCAAGGAAAGAGUGUGAAAACUUUUGGGAAUAAUUGAAAAAAAGUAUAUCUCUGCUAAAAGUAGGUAUAUACUAUAAGACAGGAGUAAGACAGAAGCUUCAACAGAUCUGCAUCAGAAAAGGGAGUGUGGGAUACUUUCAAGCCCUCACCUGCACCUCUGAAAUUCUUUUUUUCAC